GACGAACGCUGGCGGCGUGCUUAACACAUGCAAGUCGAACGGAAAGGCCCUGCUUUUGUGGGGUGCUCGAGUGGCGAACGGGUGAGUAACACGUGAGUAACCUGCCCUUGACUUUGGGAUAACUUCAGGAAACUGGGGCUAAUACCGGAUAGGAGCUCCUGCUGCAUGGUGGGGGUUGGAAAGUUUCGGCGGUUGGGGAUGGACUCGCGGCUUAUCAGCUUGUUGGUGGGGUAGUGGCUUACCAAGGCUUUGACGGGUAGCCGGCCUGAGAGGGUGACCGGCCACAGUGGGACUGAGAUACGGCCCAGACUCCUUCGGGAGGCAGCAGUGGGGAAUAUUGCGCAAUGGGCGGAGGCCUGAUGCAGCACCGCCGCGUGCGGGAUGACGGCCUUCGGGUUGUAAACCGCUUUCGCCUGUGACGAAGCGUGAGUGACGGUAAUGGGUAAAGAAGCACCGGCUAACUACGUG
Molecule: ribosomal RNA, 468 nt
Filed under: uncultured bacterium
Lineage: Bacteria
Description: partial 16S ribosomal RNA
Rfam family: Bacterial small subunit ribosomal RNA
Source: RNAcentral